Molecule: ribosomal RNA, 149 nt
Filed under: Escherichia coli
Lineage: Bacteria; Pseudomonadati; Pseudomonadota; Gammaproteobacteria; Enterobacterales; Enterobacteriaceae
Also listed under: 1 other name
Description: partial 23S ribosomal RNA
Rfam family: Bacterial large subunit ribosomal RNA
Source: RNAcentral
GGUUAAGCGACUAAGCGUACACGGUGGAUGCCCUGGCAGUCAGAGGCGAUGAAGGACGUGCUAAUCUGCGAUAAGCGUCGGUAAGGUGAUAUGAACCGUUAUAACCGGCGAUUUCCGAAUGGGGAAACCCAGUGUGUUUCGACACACUA